Molecule: ribosomal RNA, 460 nt
Filed under: uncultured bacterium
Lineage: Bacteria
Description: partial 16S ribosomal RNA
Rfam family: Bacterial small subunit ribosomal RNA
Source: RNAcentral
CCUACGGGAGGCAGCAGUGAGGAAUAUUGGUCAAUGGACGAGAGGCUGAACCAGCCAAGUAGCGUGAAGGACGACUGCCCUAUGGGUUGUAAACUUCUUUUAUAAAGGAAUAAAACGAGGCACGUGUGCCUUUCUGCAUGUACUUUAUGAAUAAGGAUCGGCUAACUCCGUGCCAGCAGCCGCGGUAAUACGGAGGAUCCGAGCGUUAUCCGGAUUUAUUGGGUUUAAAGGGAGCGUAGAUGGGUUGUUAAGUCAGUUGUGAAAGUUUGCGGCUCAACCGUAAAAUUGCAAUUGAUACUGGCAGUCUUGAGUACAGUUGAGGUAGGCGGAAUUCGUGGUGUAGCGGUGAAAUGCUUAGAUAUCACGAAGAACCCCGAUUGCGAAGGCAGCUUACUAAACUGUAACUGACGUUGAUGCUCGAAAGUGUGGGUAUCAAACAGGAUUAGAUACCCAUGUAGUC